GCUUACACAUGCAAGUCGAGCGGUAACAUUUCUAGCUUGCUAGAAGAUGACGAGCGGCGGACGGGUGAGUAACGCGUAGGAAUCUGCCUAGUAGUGGGGGACAACAUGUGGAAACGCAUGCUAAUACCGCAUACGCCCUACGGGGGAAAGGAGGGGAUCUUCGGACCUUUCGCUAUUAGAUGAGCCUGCGUGAGAUUAGCUAGUUGGUGGGGUAAAGGCCUAUCAAGGCGACGAUCUCUAGCUGGUCUGAGAGGAUGAUCAGCCACACUGGGACUGAGACACGGCCCAGACUCCUACGGGAGGCAGCAGUGGGGAAUAUUGGACAAUGGGCGCAAGCCUGAUCCAGCCAUGCCGCGUGUGUGAAGAAGGCCUUAGGGUUGUAAAGCACUUUCAGGAGUGAGGAAGGGUGUACGGUUAAUACCCGUAUAUUUUGACGUUAACUCCAGAAGAAGCACCGGCUAACUCUGUGCCAGCAGCCGCGGUAAUACAGAGGGUGCGAGCGUUAAUCGGAAUUACUGGGCGUAAAGCGCGCGUAGGCGGUUUGUUAAGUCGGAUGUG
This 558-nucleotide ribosomal RNA is filed under the name uncultured bacterium. RNAcentral describes it as "bacterial SSU rRNA". It matches the Rfam family "Bacterial small subunit ribosomal RNA", at positions 46 to 596 of the family's 1533-position model. The record is from RNAcentral.